AUAGAUCCUGAAACCGCAUGCUUACAAAAAGUAGGAGCCUCGAAAGGGGUGACUGCGUACCUUUUGUAUAAUGGGUCAGCGACUUACAUUCAGUGGCAAGGUUAACCGAAUAGGGAAGCCGUAGAGAAAUCGAGUCCGAAUAGGGCGAUCAGUCGCUGGGUGUAGACCCGAAACCAAGUGAUCUAUCCAUGGGCAGGAUGAAGGUGCCGUAACAGGUACUGGAGGUCCGAACCGACUAAUGUUGCAAAAUUAGCGGAUGACCUGUGGAUAGGGGUGAAAGGCUAAACAAACUUGGAAAUAGCUGGUUCUCUCCGAAAACUAUUUAGGUAGUGCCUCAAGUAUUACCUGCGGGGGUAGAGCACUGUUUUGGCUAGGGGGUCAUGGCGACUUACCAAACCAAGGCAAACUCCGAAUACCGCAGAGUACAGCUUGGGAGACAGAGCACCGGGUGCUAACGUCCGGACUCAAGAGGGAAACAACCCAGACCGCCAGCUAAGGUCCCUAAAAUUGGCUAAGUGGGAAACGAAGUGGGAAGGCUAAAACAGUCAGGAUGUUGGCUUAGAAGCAGCCAUCAUUUAAAGAAAGCGUAAUAGCUCACUGAUCGAGUCGUCCUGCGCGGAAGAUGUAACGGGGCUAAGCCAGUUACCGAAGCUGCGGAUUUGCAAUUUAUUGCAAGUGGUAGGAGAGCGUUCUGUAGGCCUGUGAAGGUGGUGGUGUAAACCCUGCUGGAGGUAUCAGAAGUGCGAAUGCUGACAUGAGUAGCGUUAAAGGGGGUGAAAAGCCCCCUCGCCGUAAGCGCAAGGUUUUCUACGCAACGUUCAUCGGCGUAGAGUGAGUCGGCCCCUAAGGCGAGGCAGAGAUGCGUAGCUGAUGGGAAACAGGUCAAUAUUCCUGUACCGAUGACAAGUGCGAUGUGGGGACGGAGAAGGUUAGCUCAGCCAACUGUUGGAUAUGUUGGUUCAAGCCUGUAGUCGUGCUCGGUAGGCAAAUCCGCCGGGCUUAGAUGAGGGGUGAUAACGAGGGUGCUUGCACCUGAAGUGAGUGAUACCCUGCUUCCAGGAAAAGCCACUAAGCUUCAGCUUGUCAUUGACCGUACCGCAAACCGACACUGGUGCGCGAGAUGAGUAUUCUAAGGCGCUUGAGAGAACUCAGGAGAAGGAACUCGGCAAAUUGAUACCGUAACUUCGGGAGAAGGUAUGCCCCAAGUAGGUGAACUCGAACAGAGGGAGCCCAACGGGGUUGCAAAAAAAUCGGUGGCUGCGACUGUUUUAAUAAAAACACAGCACUCUGCAAACACGAAAGUGGACGUAUAGGGUGUGACGCCUGCCCGGUGCUGGAAGAUUAAAUGAUGGGGUGCAAGCUCUUGAUUGAAGUCCCAGUAAACGGCGGCCGUAACUAUAACGGUCCUAAGGUAGCGAAAUUCCUUGUCGGGUAAGUUCCGACCUGCACGAAUGGCGUAACGAUGGCCACACUGUCUCCUCCUGAGACUCAGCGAAGUUGAAAUGUUUGUGAUGAUGCAAUCUCCCCGCGGAAAGACGGAAAGACCCCAUGAACCUUUACUGUAGCUUUGUAUUGGACUUUGAACAGAUCUGUGUAGGAUAGGUGGGAGGCUUUGAAGCGAGGUCGCUAGAUCUCGUGGAGCCAACGUUGAAAUACCACCCUGGUGUGUUUGAGGUUCUAACCUAGGUCCAUUAUCUGGAUCGGGGACAGUGCAUGGUAGGCAGUUUGACUGGGGCGGUCUCCUCCCAAAGCGUAACGGAGGAGUUCGAAGGUACGCUAGUUACGGUCGGGACAUCGUGAUAAUAGUGCAAUGGCAUAAGCGUGCUUAACUGCGAGACUGACAAGUCGAGCAGAUACGAAAGUAGGACAUAGUGAUCCGGUGGUUCUGUAUGGAAGGGCCAUCGCUCAACGGAUAAAAGGUACUCUGGGGAUAACAGGCUGAUACCGCCCAAGAGUUCAUAUCGACGGCGGUGUUUGGCACCUCGAUGUCGGCUCAUCUCAUCCUGGGGCUGUAGCCGGUCCCAAGGGUAUGGCUGUUCGCCAUUUAAAGAGGUACGUGAGCUGGGUUUAAAACGUCGUGAGACAGUUUGGUCCCUAUCUUCCGUGGGCGCUG
This 2113-nucleotide ribosomal RNA is filed under the name Limnohabitans sp. MMS-III-22. RNAcentral describes it as "bacterial LSU rRNA". It matches the Rfam family "Bacterial large subunit ribosomal RNA", at positions 543 to 2656 of the family's 2925-position model. The record is from RNAcentral. Lineage: Bacteria; Pseudomonadati; Pseudomonadota; Betaproteobacteria; Burkholderiales; Comamonadaceae.